GGCAGGUAGCCUAGUGGUUAGAGGCAGGUAGCCUAGUGGUUAGAGACAGGUAGCCUAGUGGUUAGAGGCAGGUAGCCUAGUGGUUAGAGACAGGUAGCCUAGUGGUUAGAGACAGGUAGCCUAGUGGUUAGAGGCAGGUAGCCUAGUGGUUAGAGGCAGGUAGCCUAGUGGUUAGAGACAGGUAGCCUAGUGGUUAGAGACAGGUAGCCUAGUGGUUAGAGACAGGUAGCCUAGUGGUUAGAGGCAGGUAGCCUAGUGGUUAGAGGCAGGUAGCCUAGUGGUUAGAGGCAGGUAGCCUAGUGGUUAGAGACAGGUAGCCUAGUGGUUAGAGGCAGGUAGCCUAGUGGUUAGAGACAGGUAGCCUAGUGGUUAGAGACAGGUAGCCUAGUGGUUAGAGACAGGUAGCCUAGUGGUUAGAGGCAGGUAGCAUAGUGGUUAGAGGCAGGUAGCCUAGUGGUUAGA
Long non-coding RNA from Oncorhynchus keta (chum salmon), 462 nucleotides. RefSeq lists it as uncharacterized. The record is from RefSeq and is a predicted model, not a curated record. The transcript is spliced from 4 exons. Lineage: Eukaryota; Metazoa; Chordata; Actinopteri; Salmoniformes; Salmonidae.